AUAAUCAGAUGCUAUAAAUUUCGAAUAAGGAUCAGGCUGAAAUUCAAUCUACUGUACGAAUUUUGGAGCAAUCUCAGAUUAUCAUAUUUUUAUCUCAAGUUUAUUCUAAGAUCCGUGAUGCAAUCAAAGAGAGAGAAUGAUCCUAGAGAGACAAAAUCCAUAAAGAGAGAGAAAAGAUCUAAAGAGAGAAAAUAGAGAGAAAAUUUAGAGAG
Molecule: long non-coding RNA, 212 nt
Filed under: Elaeis guineensis (African oil palm)
Lineage: Eukaryota; Viridiplantae; Streptophyta; Magnoliopsida; Arecales; Arecaceae
Description: long non-coding RNA (EGUI_LNC023560)
Source: RNAcentral